RNAcentral lists this ribosomal RNA (253 nucleotides) under uncultured bacterium. RNAcentral's name for it is "partial 16S ribosomal RNA". It matches the Rfam family "Bacterial small subunit ribosomal RNA", at positions 524 to 776 of the family's 1533-position model. The record is from RNAcentral.
UACGUAGGGUGCAAGCGUUGUCCGGAAUUAUUGGGCGUAAAGAGCUCGUAGGCGGUUUGUCGCGUCUGGUGUGAAAAUCCAGGGCUUAACCCUGGACCUGCAUCGGGUACGGGCAGACUAGAGUUCGGUAGGGGAGACUGGAAUUCCUGGUGUAGCGGUGAAAUGCGCAGAUAUCAGGAGGAACACCGGUGGCGAAGGCGGGUCUCUGGGCCGAAACUGACGCUGAGGAGCGAAAGCGUGGGGAGCAAACAGG